Molecule: long non-coding RNA, 7560 nt
Filed under: Capsicum annuum
Lineage: Eukaryota; Viridiplantae; Streptophyta; Magnoliopsida; Solanales; Solanaceae
Description: long non-coding RNA (CANN_LNC010011)
Source: RNAcentral
AGAUCCCUAACUGAUCCGUACUGAACUGGAAAUAAACAACCAUCUACUAUCAAGACAAAAAUCGGGGACAUAGGUCCUCGAACCAUGAGGACUCACCAACUGUACGAAUGUAGAUGGAGGUACUCGAAGAUCAUUGUCACUGCUGAGACUGAGCACCUGAACCUACAUCACAAGAAAAUAUAGAACCUACAUCACAAGAAAAUAUAGAACACAGAAGAGUAUGAGAAUUAGUACUUGGGAAUAUACUGAGUAUGUGCGUGUGCAGACAAUAUUUAAAUAAUAUCAUAAAUGUAUAAGAAAAUCAUGCAUGCUGAUAAUAAUAACUCUCUUCGCUUGAGUUACCUGAAACAUAUUUUCCAUAAAUCAUCAAUAAUAACACAUGCUUCAUAAAUCUCACAAACCGUUGGACUCAACUCAAACUCUUUAACUUAUGACUUAGAGCGACUCGGUAACUCAUGAAACUUGGACUAUUAUGGACUUGGGAGUUUCUUAUAACAGACAUAAACCAUGUGAGCUUACAUGGAGUCCAACGUCUUGCCCACGCUGGGGAGAGCUGUUCUAUUCUUUCCAUCGGAGUAGAACCUUAACUUUAGUGAUAACUGUCUUGGCCUUUGGCCCUUAAUCUUAAUCCUACGGUGGCACGUAGUUUUGGGGAAGUAGGAUGCGCUGAACUCAUACUUCUCGCUCGGUGCUAAAUACUACUCCCAGACUUAAGCUCUGAACGCGUUAGGAAAUCCACCUUAAUCAGCUCAAGGGUCUAUCAUGAAGACCAAAAUAUAAAUAUAUAUCUCACUUGUAAUUCAUAAUCAACUUAUGGAUUCGUAACUCGACUAAAUCUCAAAAUAAUCUUUCUCAUCAUCAAGUACACUUGCUUAUCAAAUCAUAUCAAGUAUCAAAUCUUCCAGAAAACAUCAUAGAACUCAUUCAUAACUCUCAACCUCAAUAUCAAUAUAUAUUCAAUAGACAAACUUCUCAUGGAAAAAUAUAAAUCAUGAAACUUAUCAUAAAUCACUUAGAAAUUUUCAUUUCAUGAUAACAAUAUACAAAUCAUGAAAUAAAUUUUUAAUUUAAGAAAUAAGACAAUGAAGUAGUCAUAAAUCUCAUAAAUCCUUGAUAAAGUAAUUUGGGUGUAAACCCACUUUGCAAAAUUCAUGAAAUUCAAUAGAAAUUAAAUCUUUGGGCACAAGAAUGAAACAAGUGUUCUUGUUCAAAACCCCACAUACCUUAAUCUUUGAAAUUGGAUGAACUUUAGUGCUUGANNNNNNNNNNNNNNNNNNNNNNNNNNNNNNNNNNNNNNNNNNNNNNNNNNNNNNNNNNNNNNNNNNNNNNNNNNNNNNNNNNNNNNNNNNNNNNNNNNNNNNNNNNNNNNNNNNNNNNNNNNNNNNNNNNNNNNNNNNNNNNNNNNNNNNNNNNNNNNNNAUGGAAUUAGGGUUUGGAUGGGAUUCUCAUAUUUAUAGAGGCCUCCAAGAGAUUAGAAAAUACCAAAAUACCCUUGCAAAAACGUCUCUAAAUUGCUAAAAAAAAUAGCUGACGACAUCCGUGACAGGCCAUCACGAAAUGUCAUCAAAAAAGGGUCGAAUUUUAUGAUUUUCUGCCUAAGGCUGACAACGUCGUUAGAAAUAUCGUUAGAAAUGUGAUGACGUCAUCAGAAAUGUUAUCAGAAACGUGACAGGCCGUCAGAAACGUCGUCACCCUUUUUCAGAUUGACAUGCUGGAGUAAAAUGGAUAUAACUCUUUGCUCAGGUAUCGUAUUUUGGCAAAAUUGGUAUCGUUGGAAAGCUAAUUUAAUUAUCUAUCUAUUGAUAGGUCAUGAGCUCAAAAAUUCCAAGGAUAAUGAGAGAUAUUCUAAUUUUAAGUUGACUAUACCAAUAUCCUUCCCAAGAAUUCAAUCGGUAAGGAGUGUUUUGAUUCACCUAAUCAUUAGGAUAUCUUUAAGGCCUUAAUACAUACCAUCCUUGAUCAGAAAACAACCCAAAACAUUAUAAUUUAUUUCUCAUGAGCUUGAUUCAUAGUUGCACUAUUGGUUAGAGUCUCGGGGUAUUACAAUAUCUCCCCCUUGGAAACAUUCGUCCUCGAAUGUGGCUAGAUAGGCCAAGAACAAGAGAAAAUAAGGAUGUAUAGCUGGAACGACUCACUAAAAGGGCUUACUUCAUUCUAAACUUUCGAAUACUUCACAAAAUGCAUGAAUCAUAGAGAGAAUAACCAUAUAGCUGAAUACACUAGAUUAGAAGGAAACUGGAUUGAGGAAGAAUAGUACUUUCGGCUUAAUUUGAACUCGCGGAGAAGAGAUGAGGGUAUUUGAUUUGCAUAUCUGCUUUUUCUUCCCAAGUAGCACCCUCGACUGAUUGAUUUUGCCACAGAACUUUGACUAAGGAAACUUUCUUAUUUCUUAGUCUACGAACUUGAUAAUCUAGAAUUUAAAUCGAAACUUCAUCAUACGAAAGGCUAUCAUGAAUAUCAAAACUUUCUAACGGAUCAACACUAACAGAAUCACCAAUGUGCUUCUUGAGCAUAGAAACGUGAAAGGAUGGACAGCUGACAACUCGGCAGGCAAUUUAAUCUUGUAAGCUGCUUUUCCAACAUGAUUCAAAACUCUAUAAGGGCUAACGUAUCGGGGACUAAGCUUCCCUUUCUUACUAAAUCUUUUCACCCCCUUCAUGGGUGAAAUCUUCAAGUACACCAGAUCGUUAACCUCAAACUCAAGAGCUCUUCUUAUCACAUCUGUAUAUGACUUCUGACGACUCUGGGCUGUCUUCAACCUUUCCCCAAUCAGCUUAACUUUCUCCAUAGCCUCAAACAUAGCAUCAGGUCCACUCACAACAGCUUCACCCACUUCAAACCAACCUAUGGGUAAUCUACAUCGCCUUCCGUAUAAAGCCUCAAAUGGAUCCAUUCCAAUGCUAGAAUGAAAACUUUUGUUGUAAGGAAAUUCAAUCAAUGGCAAAUGUUCAUCCCAAUUUCCUUUGAAAUCAAGAACACAGGCCCUCAAUAUAUCCUCCAAGGUCUAGAUGGUCCUCUCAGCCUGACCAUCGAUCCGCGGAUGAAAAACAGUGCUAAGAUGAACUUGGGUACCAAGACCCUUCUAAAAAGCCCUCCAAAAAUAAGAAGUAAAUGGAGUACCCCUGGCGGAGAUAAUAGACAAAUAAACUCCAUGCAACCUGACUAACUCUCGAAUGUACAGCUUAGCAUAGUCCUCAGCGGUGAAAGAUGCAUGCACUGGAAAGAAAUGCACGGACUUAGUCAAUCUGUCUACAAAGACCCAAAUCGAAUCAUGAUGACGUCGAGAAGGAGGUAAACCAGUCACAAAAUCCAUAUUUACUUCCUCUCACUUCUAAGUAGGAAUACUAAAUUCUUGCAUCAUUCCACUGGGUCUUUGCUGUUCUAUCUUAACCUGUUGGCAAGUUGUACACUUCUAUACGAAUUUCACUAUAUCCUUUUUCAUACCAUUCCACCAAUAAAUUUCUCACAAAUCGCGGUACAUCUUGGUAGCAGCGGGAUGAAUAGAAUAUCACGCGCCAUACGCUUCAGCCAUAAUUCUCUGCCUUAAAUCUUCAACAUCAGGCACACAUAAUCUAUUUUGAAAUCUCAAUACACCAUCUCCCCCUUGGGAGAAAACCUCCACCUUUUGGUCUUUAACUGACUCCUUCAGUCUAACCAAACUAGGAUCCAUAUCUUGCUUCUCCUUUACUUUUGAAACUAGAGAAAACUCGAAACUACUCUGGACCCAAAUAUUACCCUCAGCUGAAUCAAGCAAUCUAACUCCUAACCUAGCCAGAAGAAGCACCUCACGAGCUAACUUCUUUCUAUCUUCCUCGACCUGUGCUACACUACCCAUGGACGACCUGCUAAGGGCAUCUGCCAUUACAUUGGCCUUUCCCGGGUGAUACAACAUAUUUAUAUCAUAGUUCUUUAACAAUUCUAACCAUCUCCACUAACGAAGAUUCAAAUCUCUCUGAGUAAACACAUACUGCAAACUUUUGUGAUCCUUAAAGUCAUCAACACAAACACUACAAAUAGUGUCUCCACAUUUUCAAGGAAAAACCACUGCAGUUAACUCGAGGUCAUGGGUUAGAUAGUUCUUCUCAUGCGGUUUCAACUGUCUGGAGGCAUAGGAUAUAAACUUACCUUUCUAAUCAACACAAAACCCAACCCAACUCUAGAAGCAUCAAAGUACACCACAAAAUCAUCUAUACCAUUUGGAAGGGUCAACACAGGGGCCGAAGUGAGUCGAGUCUUCAACUUUUGAAAACUCUUCUCACAAGAGUCAGACCACAGGAAUUUAAUUUUCUUUUAGAUCAACCGAGUCAAAGGAGAUGCAAUGGAAGAGAAACCCUCAACAAAAUAAUGGUAGUAUCCAACUAGACCCAAGAAACUCCUAAUAUCAGAUGGGGAAAUAAGUCUAGGCUAAUUUUUCACAGCUUCUAUCUUUUGAGGGUCAACUAGAAUACCUUCAGAAGAAAUAAUAUAACCCAAAAAAGCAACUGACCUUAGCCAAAAUUCGCACUUGCUAAAUUUGGAAAAUAGUUGAUGAUCUCUAAGGGUUUGCAAGACUAUUCGGAGAUGAUUUGUAUGGUCGUACUCACUUCAAGAGUAUACAAGACUAUCAUCUAUGAACACAAUAACAAACAUAUCCAGGUACUGUCUGAACAACCGAUUCAUGAGGUCCAUAAAGGCUGCUGGGGCAUUUGUUAGCCCGAAGGACAUGAACAAGAACUCAAAAUUACCAUAUCGGGUGCGAAAAGUUAUCUUUGGAAUAUCACACUCCCUAACUUUAAGCUGGUGAUAACUGGAUCUCAAUUCUAUUUUUGAGAAAUAGUUAGCACCUUGCAGCUGAUCAAAUAGGUCAUCAAUUCUAGAAAGAGGGUACUUGUUCUUGACUGUGACCUUGUUAAGCUGAUGAUAAUCAAUGCACAUCCAUAAUGAACCAUCUUUCUUUCGCACGAACAAAAUGGGUGCACCCCAAGGUGAUAUGCUAGGCCUUAUGAAGCCCUCAUCUAAAAGAUCUUUGAGUUGCUCUUUCAACUCCUUAAGUUCUGCGGGGGCCAUACGAUAUGGAGGAAUAGAAAUAUGCUGCGUGUCGAGGAAAUGAUCAAUCCCAAAUUCUAUCUCUCUAUCGGGAUGUACCCCUAGGAGAUCUUCUGGAAAAAUAUCACAAAACUCAUUAACAAUGUUGAUCGACUGAAUGGUCGAAGUCUCAAACUUAGUAUCUUUAACUCAAACCAAAUGAUAGAUGCAACCCUUGGAUAUUAAUUUUCUAGCUUUAAGAUAGGAUAUGAAAUGACUCCUGGGAGAUACAAAAUUUUUGGACCACUCAAAAGCUGGCUCAUUGGGAAAUUGAAACUUGACUACAUGGCUACGAUAGUCUAUAGACGUAUAACAAGAGUGAAGCCAAUCCAUACCCAAAAUAAUAUCAAAAUCAACCAUGUCUAGCUCAAUCAAAUCUGCAAAUAUAACUCUGUGAAGGAUAGUGACAGGACACUUCUUAUAUACUUGCUUAGCAACAACAGGUUCACCUACUGGAGUAGAAACUAGAAAAGGCUCAGGAAUUUUUUCAGCAUUGAUCUCAAAAUUCACAGACAGUAAUGAGUCACAUAAAAAAGACUUGAUCCAGGGUCCAUCAACACAUACGCAUCAAAAUAAAAUACAUAGAGGUACUAGUAACAACAUCUGAUGAAUCCUCCUGCUCCUGGCAGGGUGGUAUAGCAUAAAAGAAAUUCUGGCGCUGACCACCGGUAGUACUAGAUGAGGCACCCUGAGGAGAAGUAGGACGAACCCAAGGGACUGGAGUACUAAUAGCCUGACUCUGGGGACGAACAUCACGGCUUCCCUGUCUAGCAUAUGGGCAAUCCCUGAAUUUGUGGCCCAGCUUACCACAACCAAAACAACCUCUCUACUCAGCCAUACACUCUCCAGGAUGCGUCCUACCACACUUAGCACAUGGGGGAUAGUUAGGUCUAUUACUCAUACUGUCCUAAAACCUAGACAUAAUAGGUCUAUUACCCUGCUCCUACCUAACUCUGGAUGUGGGAGUACUAGCUGAUGAUGGUGCUGGAAUAACAGAACAGCUCUGAAACUGAGGGUGGAUCCCUCCAGAAAAUCUACUCUGACUAUACCCCUGCUGCUCUAAUCUAACUCUCUUAUUCCCUCUCACUCUCUCUCUCUGUUUCACCUUGUCCACUUCAAUCUACUGGGCAUGUAUCAUCAAUCUAGAAAGAUCCAUAUCCUUAUUGAGCAUAGCGGACUUCACAACAUAACUCGAUACGCCAGUUAAAAACUUACUCAUACUAGUCCUGGAAUCAGUCAUCAUACCGGGAGCAUACUUAGACAACUGGUUAAAUUUAAAUUUAAGACAAUAUUCAUUAACUAUCAUAGAGCCUUGUCUCAAGUUCAUAAAUUCUUCUAGUUUUUCUUCCCCCACCUUCGGGGGAAAGAAUCGGUCUAAGAACGCGACCUGGAACAACUGCCAAGUCAUGGGAGCAGCAUCCUCCCUCUACUCUUCCUCCACAACUCCACCCAAACAUAAGCAACAUCUUUCAAGUGAUAGGAAGUUAGCUCCACACUUUCUUCCUCUGUUACAUGCAUAAUUUGGGUGAUUUUUUUCACCUCAUCAAGAUACAUUUGUGGGUCCUCACCCACCCUUGACCUAUAAAACUUUGGCGGAUUCAUCCGCAUAAAAUCCCAAACUUGAGCUAUUGUAGAAUUGCCUUCUUACGGAGCUGGAACAGUGGCCUAAAUAUUGGCCUGAGCAUUGGCGGUAACUGCCUGGGCUAGCACCUGAAAACCUACCCAAAAUUUGGCAUGAUUCACCAUCUCAUUUAAAAGAUCAUCGGGUUGAGGCCGUUUGUUAUUUCUGCGAGCUCUAUGAGGAGGAAUUUUCUAUCAUAAGAGAGCACGAAUUAAUAGCAGAGAGAAACAGUCGUAGGCACAAAAGACUUUUGAAUGAAAGAAAUGACUUUUCCUAAAAAGUCCCGUAGACUCUUGCUCAUAGAUGUGGCGCGCUAUACACCGAUGAUUAAGACUCUACGUAACGCGUCUUGUCAGACUCCCUAGGACUCCUCUAAACCUUAGGCUUAGAUACCAAUCUUGUAACGCCCCAAGAUCCCAUCCCAAGAUGUCACACAAUGCUUAAGGGCACACGUGACCUCAAGCUAACCCUCUGAGCCUGUCAUCACCUCUAUAACUCACUAUGACAAUAAUCAAGCUGUAAUAAAGAAGAAUAAUCAUGUCAUGAAUAUACUGGAAUACAAAGAAAUACUAUCCUGUACAAUCAAAAUACUGAAGUUCUAUACAUACUGGUACUCCAGUCUGACAAAGCCUCUACUACACAAGACUGAGGAGCUAUUGGGACAGAUCCCCAACUGACCCAUAUUGAACUAGAAAUAAACAACCAUCUACUAUCAAGACAAAGAUCAGGGACAUAGGUCCUCAAACUAUAAGGACUCACCAACUGUACGAAUGUAGAUGGAGGUACUCAAAGAUCACUGUCGCUGCUGAGACUAAGAACCUGAACCUACAUCACGAGAAAAUAUAGAACACAAAAGAGUAUGGGAAUCAGUACUU